CCUGAUUCCUACAAAUUUUAACAAGCGCCACCUUUGAUGGGAGACUCGCAAGCGCUAAUGAGCUUCUUUGCCGACAGGUGGAGAGAGGGCCUCGGACCCACAGUCAGAGGCACAGUCUGCAGGCUGGGGGAGCAGACGCUAUUUAUAAAGCUUCUCUCCGGGGUCGGUCACCGGCGGUCAAAGCCUGGGAGCUCCUCUGCCCGGGCCACUCCCGAUGCUCUGGGUGUACGCGGAGCCACGGUCCCCUCUCCCUUCGCCAGUGCCCUGAGGCGGAUGGAUCCGGUAUGGAGCUCUCUCAUUAUUCCCAUUUCUUGGCUUGUUGAGAAUGUGUUUCUUCCGUUGUGCAGUGAGGUGUGGCCCCCAUGGGGCCCCUACCCAGUAUUUGUGCGAGGGUGACGCGCUGCAAAAGAGGUGGUUUCUUCUUGAGAUGUCACACAAACUACAGGACUUAAUGAGGCCCAUGUGCCGGGACUAAGAAACGUCGUUUCUUGCCGCAUGUCAUUAGUGAAAGCUCGCCUAUCCAUACAUUGAAAUGGAGACAGAGCUGCCCAUUAGGUGGGGAGCUAAGCGCACUGUGCAGGAAGGUGGGAGUGGGGGGCUUGUGUGGGACUCAGCUUUGCUGGCCUGCUGGAAGCCCCAACGAGCUGCUCCCUGCUCUCUCCUUGCCAGACGGGAGCGGCCACCGACCAGAACCAAGUGGAACUGCAUUAAAGCGAAGAUGCAAGAAAUGAUUGGGCUUAGCAUUCUUUCUCUGCUUGGCUGGAAGCUUCUCAAGAGCCAGGGGGGCUGCCUGAGAUCAGGGACCAUGCCAGCUGGGCAUCUGUUUGCCGCCCAGGACUUACUCUCCUCUGAGAAACAGCUCAUCAAACAUCCUCUGGGAACCUCCUUCUGCAUCAGCCUGGUGCCUCGUGUGGAAUUGACACCUAUGCCCGGCUCCAGUUGUGGAGCUUAAGUUAACCAGCAUCCCUCACCUCCAUUCUCCCUGUCACAGUGAUUGGCUCAGGGCUGACAUGUGACUUAGGUGGGUCCCAUCAGACAGAACCUCAAGGCUUCCCCUGGAAAUGAUGAGCCCUGUCCUUUUUCCCCUGCUGCACAUGUAGACUCCUAGGAUACUGGAAGCCACCCAGGACAGAUGCGGGUGAGGAUUAGAUGCUGGCGAGUCUGGCCAGCAAUGGAGCCAAGCAGAGCUAGGACAUGGAGAGAAAGAAACAAAGUCCUGGCCACAUGAUUUGAGCCCCUGGAUCAAGCAUUGCCUGAAACUAGAGCUCCCUUUAGACGUGUCAGUUACUUGGACGAAUAAAUCCCCUUUAUAUUUAAACCA
RNAcentral lists this long non-coding RNA (1321 nucleotides) under Sus scrofa (pig). RNAcentral's name for it is "lncRNA (ENSSSCG00065006755.1)". The record is from RNAcentral. Lineage: Eukaryota; Metazoa; Chordata; Mammalia; Artiodactyla; Suidae.